AGCAGCCGCGGUAAUUCCAGCUCCAAUAGCGUAUAUUAAAGUUGUUGCAGUUAAAAAGCUCGUAGUUGAAUUUCGGGAUCAAUAUGUCGGUCGUGCCUUGGUACGUACUGGUAUCAUUGGUCUCUCCUUUCUGACGAACCAUGAUGUCAUUAAUUUGGUGUUAUGGGAAGUUAGGACUGUUACUUUGAAAAAUUAGAGUGUUUAAAGCAGGCUUUAGCUUGAAUACAUUAGCAUGGAAUAAUGAAAUAGGACGUUCGAACCUAUUUUGUUGGUUUCUAGGAUCAGCGUAAUGAUUAAUAGGGAUAGUUGGGGGCAUUAGUAUUCAAUUGUCAGAGGUGAAAUUCUUGGAUUUAUUGAAGACUAACUACUGCGAAAGCAUUUGCCAAGGAUGUUUUCAUUAAUCAAGAACGAAAGUUAGGGGAUCGAAGACGAUCAGAUACCGUCGUAGUCUUAACCAUAAACUAUGCCGACUAGGGAUCGG
Molecule: ribosomal RNA, 481 nt
Filed under: uncultured Glomus
Lineage: Eukaryota; Fungi; Glomeromycota; Glomeromycetes; Glomerales; Glomeraceae
Description: SSU rRNA
Rfam family: Eukaryotic small subunit ribosomal RNA
Source: RNAcentral